This 253-nucleotide ribosomal RNA is filed under the name uncultured bacterium. RNAcentral's name for it is "partial 16S ribosomal RNA". It matches the Rfam family "Bacterial small subunit ribosomal RNA", at positions 524 to 776 of the family's 1533-position model. The record is from RNAcentral.
UACGGGGGGGGCAAGCGUUGUUCGGAAUUACUGGGCGUAAAGGGCUCGUAGGCGGCCAACUAAGUCAGACGUGAAAUCCCUCGGCUUAACCGGGGAACUGCGUCUGAUACUGGAUGGCUCGAGUUUGGGAGAGGGAUGCGGAAUUCCAGGUGUAGCGGUGAAAUGCGUAGAUAUUCGGAAGAACACCGGUGGCGAAGGCGACCUUCUGGGCCGCAACUGACGCUGAGGCACGAAAGCCUGGGGAGCGAACGGG